ACUUAAACAUUUAUUUCUAAUAAAACUAAUUAUUUAAUUAAAUUUAAUUUUUUUUUACCUUUUUCUGUAAAGAAAUUUAAAAUUUAAAAAAAGAAAUUUUAUGUUCCUUUUGUAUCAGGACCAAUUAAUUUUAAAUAAAAAUAUUAAACUCCUGAAAUAAAGAGAUCUAAAAUAUUAAUUUUUAAUAUUUCAAUAUUAUAUAAAUUUUAUUUUAGAAACUAAACAUUAUUCGAACUUUAUGAUAUCCGGUAUCUUAAAAAUUAAAAAAUUAAAUUUUAAAUAUUAAAGUAUAAACUUUGAUAUUUAAUUAUCAUAAAUUUAAAUUAAAUUAGGAAUAAAAUUACCCAAAAAAUUUAAUAAUUACAUAUAGUAUAAAAAAAUUUUUCAUAUUAAGAAAUCAACUAUUAUAAAUUAUUAUAAUUUGAUAAGUAUAAAUUUAAUUUAAAUUCAAGAACUCUGCAUAAUGAUAAAUGACUGUUUAACAAAAACAUUUCUUAAAGAUUCAUUUUAAGUAUUUUCUGCUCAAUGUAAAAAUAAAUAGCCGCAGAAUUUAACUGUGCUAAGGUAGCAUAAUCAUUAGUUUUUUAAUUAAAAACUAGAAUGAAAGAAUUAACAAUUUAACAACUUUUUUAAUUUAAAUUAUAUAAAUUUUACUAAAUAUAAAAAUAUAUUUAUAAAUAAGAAAGACGACAAGACCCUAUCAAACUUCACUUUAGUUUAGCUGGGGCAGCUAAUUAAAAAUAAUUUUAAUUUUAAUACUUUUAUAAAAGAUCCAAUAUAAUUGAUUUAGUGAACAAGUUACUGUAGGGAUAACAGCGUUAUAUUUUUUUGAAGUUCUUAUUUUUAAAAAAGAUUGCGACCUCGAUGUUGAAUUAUUUAACUUUGAAACGCAAAAUUUUCAUAAGUAGGCCUGUUCGGCCUUUAAAUUUUUACAUGAUUUGAGUUAAAAUCGGUGUAAACCAGAUUGGAUUCUAUCUUCUUAACAUUUUUCCUAGUACGAAAGGACCUGAAAAAAUAUUUUAUAAU
Molecule: ribosomal RNA, 1026 nt
Filed under: Leucauge celebesiana
Lineage: Eukaryota; Metazoa; Arthropoda; Arachnida; Araneae; Tetragnathidae
Description: 16S ribosomal RNA
Source: RNAcentral